CACAAUAAAAUAUGAAGGCUGUACGCGGCUGUGCUCCCGGGCCAGUUUUGCGGAGGCUGAAUUAUUUAUUACCCUUGUCUUUUGCGCACUUGUUGUUUCCUGGGCGGGUUCGCCCGCCACCAGGACCACAUCAUAAACCUUUUUUAUGCAGUUGCAAUCAGCGUCAGUAUAACAAAUGUAAAUCAUUUA
Molecule: unclassified non-coding RNA, 189 nt
Filed under: soil metagenome
Description: partial internal transcribed spacer 1
Source: RNAcentral